GUGAGUUCCAUCUCUUAGAGAGACUGUUGUUGAAGAGAGCAUUCAAAGCCUUGCUGAAGUCAAUGUAAAUAAUAUCCAUGUGCUCCCUUCAUCUGUCCACCAUUUUUUCCGUUACAGAAGGCUAUCGGAUUGUUAUUGCAGUGUUCAUCUUGGAAAUAGAACAACAGUUACUGUGAAGCUAGAUUUGUAAACCUGAAGUAAUGGUCUGUUUUCUUCUACAAGAGACUCUCACUUUAAGUGACAGAGCAUAAGAACUGGGAAGAACAAGCAUAUUCACAUGUGAAUAGAGACCUGGUAAUCAACGGUUGGACUGGAUGAUCUUAGAGAUAAUUGAGCAAAUUUGUAGUCAAAAGUAUUUCAGAGUCAUCAACACAAGGCAGGUAAGUCCUGAACAUUUCGUUCAUCCUGUUUGGAUAGAUGUAACAGAUAAUGGAAUUGAUGUGCUGGUUAGAAAUGAACUAUGGUGCAUGUCAUAUAAAUAGAUAUAUGGUUUGCAGACUUUUUUCUGUUACUGGUCUAAAUCUAGAGAUAUACUAGCUGUUACCUUUUUACUGAGGUCAUUCCAGAAGUAGUGUCUCCUCUUUAUUUCCAUGGAAACUACAACAGAUGCAAAGAGCAGAAUAACAUUGUUUGAUAGACCAAAUUCUUGGCUACCAAGCACUAUUUUUCAACAUAGUCGCAACUAUUAGCUGGUUCAUGCAAAUGAGCUGAUCAGAAUACUCUUCAUUUCAUGAUAUGAUA
RNAcentral lists this long non-coding RNA (741 nucleotides) under Coturnix japonica (Japanese quail). RNAcentral describes it as "lncRNA (ENSCJPG00005017982.1)". The record is from RNAcentral. Lineage: Eukaryota; Metazoa; Chordata; Aves; Galliformes; Phasianidae.